RNAcentral lists this unclassified non-coding RNA (240 nucleotides) under Hevea brasiliensis (rubber tree). Lineage: Eukaryota; Viridiplantae; Streptophyta; Magnoliopsida; Malpighiales; Euphorbiaceae. The record is from RNAcentral.
GGUUCAUCUAAAACAAUAGGAUAUAUCAGAUAAUGUGAAAAUUCAAAAGCCAUGAUUAUUUUCUAAUGAUAUAUUUGACAGAAAGGCUUAUUUCAUAUUACAGUUAAAUAGAGUAUUAACCAUUGGAAGAUAAAGAAGAGCAGCAUCUUUUGCCCUUUCCUUUUUCUUCCUACCUUUUCCAAAGUGCAAGUGCGCAUGCAAAGAUAUUAAGGAUGGAAUUGGCAGAUUCUCAAACAAACA